RNAcentral lists this ribosomal RNA (851 nucleotides) under Phylloporia lonicerae. Its description in RNAcentral is "partial large subunit ribosomal RNA". It matches the Rfam family "Eukaryotic large subunit ribosomal RNA", at positions 84 to 915 of the family's 3401-position model. The record is from RNAcentral. Lineage: Eukaryota; Fungi; Basidiomycota; Agaricomycetes; Hymenochaetales; Hymenochaetaceae.
UAACUGCGAGUGAAGCGGGAAGAGCUCAAAUUUGUAAUCUGGCGAUCUCUGGUCGUCCGAGUUGUAAUCUGUAGAGGCGUCGUCCGCGUCGGCCCGUGUACAAGUCUCCUGGAAUGGAGCGUCAUAGAGGGUGAGAAUCCCGUCCAUGACACGGACCACCGAUGCUUUGUGAGGUGCCCUCGAAGAGUCGCGUUGUUUGGGAAUGCAGCGCAAAAUGGGUGGUAAAUUCCAUCUAAGGCUAAAUAUUGGCGAGAGACCGAUAGCGAACAAGUACCGUGAGGGAAAGAUGAAAAGCACUUUGGAAAGAGAGUUAAACAGUACGUGAAAUUGUUGAAAGGGAAACGCUUGAAGUCAGUCGCGUCCUGGGGCAUUCAGCCUCGCUUCGGCUUGGUGUACUUGCCUUGGGAUGGGUCAACAUCAAUUUUGGCUGGUGGAUAAGGGUGAGGGGAAUGUAGCGUUGUUUCGGCGACGUGUUAUAGCCCCUCAUUGAAUACAUCGGCUGGGAUUGAGGACCGCAGCACGCCCUUGUGGCCGGGGGUUCGCCCUACUCACGUGCUUAGGAUGUUGGCAUAAUGGCUUUAAGCGACCCGUCUUGAAACACGGACCAAGGAGUCUAACAUGCUUGCGAGUGUUCGGGUGGAAAACCCUUGCGCGUAAUGAAAGUGAAAGUUGGGAGCCUUCGCGAGGAGGUGCACCGACGCCCGGCCCUGAUGUGCUCUGACGGUGCUGCGGUAGAGCAAGUAUGUUGGGACCCGAAAGAUGGUGAACUAUGCCUGAAUAGGGUGAAGCCAGAGAAACUCUGGUGGAGGCUCGUAGCGAUUCUGACGUGCAAAUCGAUCGUCAAAUUUGGG